This 141-nucleotide ribosomal RNA is filed under the name uncultured eukaryote. RNAcentral describes it as "partial 18S ribosomal RNA". It matches the Rfam family "Eukaryotic small subunit ribosomal RNA", at positions 1299 to 1458 of the family's 1831-position model. The record is from RNAcentral.
UGGUGGAGUGAUUUGUCUGGUUUAUUCCGUUAACGAACGAGACCCGUGCCUGCUAAAUAAUUGUCAUUGAGUUUUUCACAGUGUUCAAUUUCUUAGAGGGACUUGCAUCUAUUCAGUUGACGGAAGAAAGGGGCAAUAACA